Triplophysa rosa is the source of this 1680-nucleotide long non-coding RNA. RefSeq lists it as uncharacterized. Lineage: Eukaryota; Metazoa; Chordata; Actinopteri; Cypriniformes; Nemacheilidae. The record is from RefSeq and is a predicted model, not a curated record. The transcript has 8 exons.
UUGUGUACUUCGUCCACCUCUGCGUUUAACCCCUGCGAGUUCGACACGGAUACGGCGCAAAGCCUGAACUGCCGUGAGAUGAGUUUUUAUCGUCUGUGUAUUUUCUAGCUGUUUCAUCGAGAGGUUGUUUGCGAGGGUAGAAAACAUACUUUAAACAGAUCGUUGUCUUUUCAGAUGUCAGUUCGUUGGUUAACUUAUGUCACUGGCUUGCGACUGACACUGUCCCAUUGAACCCCUUCGAGUUAGACAUGCAUGCUGUGGUUCUAGUGGAGCAGAGAGUGCGACAGGACGACCAAUUUAAUCAAUCUGGUGGCAAGAAGGUAUGCAUUGGAAGUGUAAGUACUGUUCUUUUAACUGUGAAAAAUGAUCACAGCUAUUUAAACAUUAUAGACUGAAACAUGGUAGGUAUGCUAGAAAUGAGCCAUUUCCAUGUUUGCAUCAGGAAUGUCUAUGCACUUUUAAAUCAUUUAACUUAUCUAACUUUCACACCAAACUGUCUGGUCAGCAGCCAAGUGACGCACGCACCAGUUACGUUUUGCUGUCUGUCUUGUGGGUUUGCAGAGUAUUGUUCUGAGGCUGAUUACUUAAUUCACUUGUCAAGAAACACAUGAACAUUACAUCUGCUCUUCGCAGAAAAGAAGUUGUAAACGACAAGUCUCGCAUCAGCCAGAUGAUUCUUCAAUGGCCAGCUCUGUUUACAGAAAGUCAGGUUUGUAACGAGUUCAGCAGAGUUGUGGGGAAAAAUCUCAGAGAGAGCUUCUUUGAUGCUCUUGACCGUUUCUGAGCCAACAGAUGUUAGGUCCCCUUGCCUUCGUGGACUGCCAGUCGUUUUAGGGGAUGACCCUGCUGCCUUUAAGACCUGCUCUGAUGUUAAUGAUGAGGACUCGUACCACCAAAUUCCAGUGUGAAUCCUCUGCAUUGAUGCAGAAAGUCCACAGCUAAACCCUUCCAGAGCGUGUAUCAUCUUGGAGGAGAAUUCAGCGAUGGAACCGGACAACUUGCCUCAUAUCUUCUGUUUGGACUCAUUUAUGCCCUGCACUUGGACUAUGCAUUCUUGUCCUCUUAAACUGGAGUGCAAACUUGUUUUAAAUUUUCAAUAAAACUCGUCUGCCUGUUCCUGUCAUCAUCAGAUACUCUUCUCAAUGUUCUUCAUCAUCAGAAAGAUCUUCAGUGUCAAUAUGUGUGUUGUUGUGUUCAGUGAUGAAUGUGACACGUGUGAGUCUCUCCUGGUACAAAGGAAAGAGUUUAUUGUCCAGCAUCAGUGUGUCUGAUCUCAACAUCAGACUCUCUCUACCUCUGGAGGUGGAAUAUCAGGACACAAACACAUACAGAUGUGUCAUCAACAAUCACUUCACAAACCACACACAACAUCUACACAUCAAUGAUGUCUGUCAGCCGUGUUCAGAUUUUAUCCAGCGUUCACAUUUAAUACUGCUGAUAGCUGCUGUUGUGCUGCUGGUCAUAGUUUCAUCUGUUUGUUUGAUUUACUGCCACUACAACAACUGUAAACAACCAGCAAUGAACUUCACACUCAGGAGAAGAUAUACACCAGACCAACACCACUGUAUGAGCACAACGCCUUCAGGAGUCACAUGACCACAGAUGUUAAAGAAGAUCACACAUCAUGCUCAACUGUAAAUAAUAUGAAUACAAAAAUAACUAAUAAAGUUUGUUUUAAAC